Molecule: ribosomal RNA, 1520 nt
Filed under: uncultured bacterium
Lineage: Bacteria
Description: bacterial SSU rRNA
Rfam family: Bacterial small subunit ribosomal RNA
Source: RNAcentral
GAGUUUGAUCCUGGCUCAGAACGAACGCUGGCGGCGUGCUUAACACAUGCAAGUCGAACGAGAAAGCCCCUUUCGGGGGGUGAGUAAAGUGGCAAACGGGUGAGUAAUACAUGGGUAACCUGCCCUUAAGAUCGCGAUAACAUCCUGAAAAGGGUGCUAAUAGCGGAUAAGACUACGUGACUGCGGUCAAGUAGUAAAAGAUGGCCUCUAUAUAUAAGCUUUCGCUUAAGGAUGGGCUCAUGCGUCAUUAGCUUGUUGGUGGGGUAACGGCCUACCAAGGCUGCGAUGGCUAGCCGGCCUGAGAGGGUGAUCGGCCACACUGGGAUUGAGAUACGGCCCAGACUCCUACGGGAGGCAGCAGUGGGGAAUUUUGCGCAAUGGGGGAAACCCUGACGCAGCAACGCCGCGUGAAGGAUGAAGCUUCUUGGAGUGUAAACUUCUGUCAGAUGGGAAGAAAUGUCAGUGGGUUAAUACCCUGCUGACUUGACGGUACCAUCAGAGGAAGCCCCGGCUAACUCCGUGCCAGCAGCCGCGGUAAUACGGGGGGGGCAAGCGUUGUUCGGAAUUACUGGGCGUAAAGAGCGCGUAGGCGGCCAGGUAAGUUAGGCGUGCAAUCCUGUGGCUUAACCACAGAACUGCGCUUAAUACUGCUUGGCUUGAGUACGGGAGAGGAAAGUGGAAUUCCAAGUGUAGCGGUGAAAUGCGUAGAUAUUUGGAGGAACACCAGUGGCGAAGGCGGCUUUCUGGACCGAUACUGACGCUGUGGCGCGAAAGCUAGGGGAGCGAACGGGAUUAGAUACCCCGGUAGUCCUAGCCGUAAACGAUGGACACUAGGUGUAGGGAGAACUAAAUCUCUCUGUGCCGUAGCUAACGCAUUAAGUGUCCCGCCUGGGGAGUACGAUCGCAAGGUUGAAACUCAAAGGAAUUGACGGGGGCCCGCACAAGCGGUGGAGCAUGUGGUUUAAUUCGACGCAACGCGAAGAACCUUACCGGGGUUUGAAAUAUACAGGACAGCCCUAGAAAUAGGGUCUUCCUUCGGGAUCUGUAUACAGGUGCUGCAUGGCUGUCGUCAGCUCGUGUCGUGAGAUGUUGGGUUAAGUCCCGCAACGAGCGCAACCCUUACCCUUAGUUGCCACCAGGUUAUGCUGAGCACUCUAAGGGAACUGCCGUUGAUAAAACGGAGGAAGGUGGGGAUGACGUCAAGUCCUCAUGGCCCUUAUGUCCCGGGCUACACACGUGCUACAAUGGCCGGUACAAAGGGGGGCGAUACCGCGAGGUGGAGCAAAUCCCAAAAAGCCGGUCUCAGUUCGGAUUGAAGUCUGCAACUCGACUUCAUGAAGUUGGAAUCGCUAGUAAUCGCGGAUCAGCAUGCCGCGGUGAAUACGUUCCCGGGCCUUGUACACACCGCCCGUCACACCACGAAAGUUGGUUGUACCAGAAGUCGCUGAGCUAACCCGUAAGGGAGGCAGGUGCCCAAGGUAUGAUUAGCGAUUGGGGUGAAGUCAAAAGCGAAGGUAACC